This 84-nucleotide transfer RNA is filed under the name Formosa sp. Hel1_31_208. It matches the Rfam family "tRNA". From Rfam's summary of the family: Transfer RNA (tRNA) molecules are approximately 80 nucleotides in length. Their secondary structure includes four short double-helical elements and three loops (D, anti-codon, and T loops). Lineage: Bacteria; Pseudomonadati; Bacteroidota; Flavobacteriia; Flavobacteriales; Flavobacteriaceae. The record is from Rfam by way of RNAcentral.
GCGCACGUGGCGGAAUUGGUAGACGCGCCAGCUUGAGGGGUUGGUGGACUUUAGUCCGUGGAAGUUCGAGUCUUCUCGUGCGCA